GUCGCCGGGGGAAGGAGGGAAAUGGCACCGGCGACGGGGCGGAAGUAAAGGCAUUCAUCAGCAGUGGUAUCCGUCAGACUAAGCCUCCACUGCACAUCUAACCGACUAAGGAGC
This 114-nucleotide non-coding RNA is filed under the name Candidatus Poribacteria bacterium WGA-4E. RNAcentral's name for it is "Poribacteria-1 RNA". It matches the Rfam family "Poribacteria-1 RNA". The record is from Rfam by way of RNAcentral. Lineage: Bacteria; Candidatus Poribacteria.